This 349-nucleotide unclassified non-coding RNA is filed under the name soil metagenome. Its description in RNAcentral is "partial contains 5.8S ribosomal RNA, internal transcribed spacer 2, and large subunit ribosomal RNA". The stretch from base 1 to 119 matches the Rfam family "5.8S ribosomal RNA", at positions 35 to 154 of the family's 154-position model. The record is from RNAcentral.
GAUGAAGAACGUAGCGAAAUGCGAUAAGUAAUGCGAAUUGCAGAAUCCGUGAGUCAUCGAAUCUUUGAACGCAGAUUGCGCUCUCUGGUAUUCCGGAGGGCAUGCCUGUUCGAGCGUCAUUAUCACCCCUCAAGCCCGGCUUGUUGUUGGAUGCAGCGCUUAUCCCGCUCCUCCCAAAGAUAAUGACGGCGUCUGCGACGACUCCUGUACACUGAGCUUUCGGGCACGUACACGGCUAGAAGUCCAGACCCGGUCGCCGUCCCCCCCGCGGGGACACCCAUUACCACAAGGUUGACCUCGGAUCAGGUAGGAAUACCCGCUGAACUUAAGCAUAUCAAUAAGCGGAGGA